GACGAACGCUGGCGGCGUGCUUAACACAUGCAAGUCGAGCGGUAAGGCCCUUUCGGGGGUACACGAGCGGCGAACGGGUGAGUAACACGUGGGUGACCUGCCCUCAGCUCUGGGAUAAGCCUGGGAAACUGGGUCUAAUACUGGAUAUGACUCCACGGUGCAUGUCGUGGGGUGGAAAGCCUUGUGCGGCUGAGGAUGGGCCCGCGGCCUACCAGCUUG
Molecule: ribosomal RNA, 219 nt
Filed under: uncultured bacterium
Lineage: Bacteria
Description: partial 16S ribosomal RNA
Rfam family: Bacterial small subunit ribosomal RNA
Source: RNAcentral